RNAcentral lists this ribosomal RNA (420 nucleotides) under bacterium. Its description in RNAcentral is "partial 16S ribosomal RNA". It matches the Rfam family "Bacterial small subunit ribosomal RNA", at positions 355 to 776 of the family's 1533-position model. The record is from RNAcentral.
UGGGGGAUAUUGCACAAUGGGCGAAAGCCUGAUGCAGCGACGCCGCGUGGGGGAUGAAGGCUUUCGGGUUGUAAACCUCUUUCGCUAUCGAACAAGGCCCGCUUAGGGUGGGUUGAGGGUAGGUGGAGAAGAAGCGCCGGCUAACUACGUGUCAGCAGCCGCGGUAAUACGUAGGGCGCGAGCGUUGUCCGGAAUUAUUGGGCGUAAAGGGCUUGUAGGCGGUUUGUUGCGCCUGCUGUGAAAACGCGGGGCUUAACUUCGCGCGUGCAGUGGGUACGGGCAGGCUUGAGUGUGGUAGGGGUGACUGGAAUUCCAGGUGUAGCGGUGGAAUGCGCAGAUAUCUGGAGGAACACCGAUGGCGAAGGCAGGUCACUGGGCCAUUACUGACGCUGAGGAGCGAAAGCAUGGGUAGCGAACAGG